GGAAUAUUGGUCAAUGGACGCAAGUCUGAACCAGCCAUGCCGCGUGAAGGAUGACGGCCCUCUGGGUUGUAAACUUCUUUUACAGGGGAAGAAAUGCAUUUUUUCUAAAGUGUUUGACGGUACCCUGGGAAUACGCACCGGCUAACUCCGUUCCAGCAGCCGCGGUAAUACGGAGGGUGCAAGCGUUAUCCGGAUUCACUGGGUUUAAAGGGUGCGUAGGUGGGAAUGAAAGUCAGUGGUGAAAUCUCCGGGCUUAACCCGGAAACUGCCAUUGAUACUUUGUUUCUUGAAUCUUCUGGAGGUCAGCGGAAUAUGUCAUGUAGCGGUGAAAUGCUUAGAUAUGACAUAGAACACCAAUUGCGAAGGCAGCUGACUACGGGAGCAUUGACACUGAGGCACGAAAGCGUGGGGAUCAAACAGG
Molecule: ribosomal RNA, 421 nt
Filed under: uncultured bacterium
Lineage: Bacteria
Description: bacterial SSU rRNA
Rfam family: Bacterial small subunit ribosomal RNA
Source: RNAcentral